Molecule: long non-coding RNA, 1047 nt
Filed under: Apteryx rowi (Okarito brown kiwi)
Lineage: Eukaryota; Metazoa; Chordata; Aves; Apterygiformes; Apterygidae
Description: lncRNA (ENSARWG00000000153.1)
Source: RNAcentral
CAGGCCCCACAUCUUAACUGGAGGUGUAUGCAUCUUAAUACAGCCGUGCUGUCUGUCAAACUGUUAUGAAACCGCCGUGCCAAGAGGUGUGGAUAGUUAGCAGUUCUUUGUACAAGCUUUAAUGGAAAGCGGAUCCAAACUCCCAGGCAAACCUAGCCAGCGCGUGGUGUGAGAAGUCCUUAGAGGAGCCCGAAGCGCUCUCGCUCCUCUUCUCAGCGCCCGGCGAUCACAUCACACUGCACAAAACGCAAAACUACUGAGGUCCUUGUGGGAGGAAAUGGAGAUCGUGCGGCCUGAGAUGACUAAAUGGUUUUUAGAGAAACCUCAGAAAGCAAGGUCAAGCUUUGAGUGACUUGUCUAAACUACAGCCACUUGUUCUUUGCUAUGAACACCUGCAUUUUCACACGUGCGAAAUGAUGUUUUCCAUGAUCAAAAGCGAAAUGUUCCAUGGAGAAUUCCAGUAUUAACUGCCAGCUUGUGUAGCAUCCCCUUGGUGGACCACUGGAAAAUUGGGACUUCUGAUGUGUACAACCUGCUGUGCAGAAACGCUCCAGGGCCUCGGAGUUCACUGGCCUCAGGGCAGUCCACCAGUCUGUCUGCUAUUGCGCUGCAGUGAAGGAGGGUGUUGCAGGACCCCAUGCAUUGGGGUUGUCGUUGUGGAUCACGCCUGGACAAGUGCUAGCAGUGCCACGAAGCAGAAGCAGCUGUACUGCACUGAAGAACCUCGUCUCCCAGAAGACUGGAUGUGUUAGCAGGCUGACUUUCUCCUUUUCAAGAAAAAAGCUCAGGUGUCAUCUCCCUGGAAUUCAUUACCUGGCUGCUGUAAUGUGUCUGUCUUCCAUCAGCAGUUGCAUUGAGAAUAUUGAUAAACAUUAAUCUUAUUUUUGGUACACGUAGCCACUGCAGGAAGGAUGCUUGCCUCAGCUGCAUAGUAACUGCUACAUCUCUGAAGUGUUUGCUGAACACCUCACUGGCUUGAGGAUGUGGCUGGAUUCGAUGUUCAGGGAUCUUGUGUAAUAAAUAUGAAAGUCCACUAAAUGUAAUGCA